UAGGUAUAGGGGAGAGCAGGUAGGAUUCGUACAGUAGGAGCAUUCGUACAGUCCUUAUUCCUACCACUGUAGAAUACUUUGACAGGUCUGUGUUUGUGUGCGUGAGACCCACUCGCACGCAUAGGUUACUCGCGGGGUGAGACGUCAGUGCAGCCGCCGGCUUCGACGCAACGAGUCGUAACGUGAUUUCGCGCCAAAACCAUGCCGCGAAUAUAUAUUAAAAAGGGACGAGGACGGGAGAGGUAGAUGAAGGUGCAAUAGAAUCGGCGAUAAAAGAAGUUUUGGAUAAGACAUUAUCUAUUAGAAAAUCUGCACAAAAAUAUGGCGUCAAACCAACAACACUCGAAAGUCGUCUGAAAAAGUUUCAUCAACAAGAAGCUGCCGAAAAUAUGCCUACCCGUGCGUUCACUUCCAAGUUUACGUCAAAUCAGGUGUUUUCAACUGAGGAGGAAGCCCUUUUAAACAAUUACAUUAUUGAAUGCUCCAAAAUGCACUACGGUCUGACGAUCAUCCAGGUCAGAAAAUUGGCAUAUGAGUUUGCAAAAGCCAAUCAGCUUAAUUUUCAUCCGAGUUGGCAUCAUAAUAAAAUGGCUGGUAAAGAAUGGUUGGAUAGUUUCCGCAGGCGAAACGGAAACCUGAGUCUUAGAAAGCCUGAAAAUACCAGCAUAUUUUGAAUCCUUUACUGGUAAAAAUAUCACUCAUGCCUUUGAGAAGGCCGGAAUAUGGCCUUUUAAUAGGUUAGCUUUUGGCGACGAUGAUUUUGCACCUGUGAAUGUAUACUAUUCUAGUUCAACCCAAGAUGCUCAAACGAACCCACAAGCUUCAACUUCUUCACAACCACAAGCGUUACAAUCCACGCAAGAUAAGCAAUCAAGUUCUGUAGCCGUUCAAGAUUACGAUGUGCCAGAGACCAUACCAGCAGACCCCAUACAGACAGAGUUUAUUCAACAAAACCUUCCAAGUUGUUCAUCAUCUGUGUCUCCAUCUUUGCUAUCACCUACAACAGUAACAGAUUGCUCACCAGCUGUGGGGUUGAUCACCCCAGAGUUAGUCAGGCCAUAUCCUAGAGUGGACAGAGAUUCAAUAAAGAAAACAAGGAAAGGAAAGCUACCAGGCAAAUCUAGAAUUUACACUGAUACUCCGGAAAAAGAUAGACUGGCAGAAAUAGAAAAAGGAAGACUAUUGAAGAAGCAAGUGCAAGAGAAAAAACAAAAAGCUAAGGCCAUCAAAGCUCUACAUCUUGUCUUAGAUGCAGAUAACGCAUCUUCAAUAAAGAGGAAAUCUCAAUCGAAAGAGUCAUUUAAUUUAAAGAAGCAAAAGAAAACUACAAAGACUGAUAAUGAAGCAAAUGCAUAUUAUAUGAUACCUAUGAAUACCUAAAUAAUAUAUCUUGGUUCUUAAUACAAAAAUGCUGAUUCUGUGUUAAAUUGAUCUCAAUAAAUGAUUAAAUUUAAUCAACAA
This is a long non-coding RNA of Dalotia coriaria, 1461 nucleotides long. RefSeq lists it as uncharacterized. NCBI's taxonomy places the organism in Eukaryota, Metazoa, Arthropoda, Insecta, Coleoptera, Staphylinidae. The transcript has 2 exons. The record is from RefSeq and is a predicted model, not a curated record.